This 421-nucleotide ribosomal RNA is filed under the name uncultured bacterium. RNAcentral describes it as "partial 16S ribosomal RNA". It matches the Rfam family "Bacterial small subunit ribosomal RNA", at positions 360 to 773 of the family's 1533-position model. The record is from RNAcentral.
AAUAUGUGACAAUGGGGGCAACCCUGAUCCAGCCAUGCAGCGUGUGGGAAGAAGGUUUNCGGAUUNUNAAGCACUUUAAGUUGGGNGGAAGGGCUUUAGGUUAAUACCCUGAAGUUUUGACGUUACCAACAGAAUAAGCACCGGCUAACUCUGCGCCAUCAGCCGCGGUAAUACAGAGGGUGCAAGCGUUAAUCGGAAUUAUUGGGCGUAAGGCGCGCGUGGGUGGUUCAGUAAGAUGGGUGUGAAAUCCCCGGGCUUAACCUUGGAACUGCUUUCAUAACUGCUGAGCUAGAGUACGGUAGAGGGUAGUGGAAUUUCCUGUGUAGCGGUGAAAUGCGUAGAUAUAGGAAGGAACACCAGUGGCGAAGGCGACUACCUGGACUGAUACUGACACUGAGGUGCGAAAGCGUGGGGAGCAAAC